GACGAACGCUGGCGGCGUGCUUAACACAUGCAAGUCGAACGGUGAAGCGCUUUCCUUUUUGGUUGGUGUGGAUGAGUGGCGAACGGGUGAGUAACACGUGAGUAACCUGCCCCCUUCUUCUGGAUAACCGCAUGAAAGUGUGGCUAAUACGGGAUAUUCUGCGCCUGCUGCAUGGUGGGUGUGGGAAAGAUUGUGCCUUUGGGUGUUUUCGGUGGGGGAUGGGCUCGCGGCCUAUCAGCUUGUUGGUGGGGUGAUGGCCUACCAAGGCGGUGACGGGUAGCCGGCCGGAGAGGGUGGACGGUCACACUGGGACUGAGACACGGCCCAGACUCCUACGGGAGGCAGCAGUGGGGAAUAUUGCACAAGGGGCGCAAGCCUGAUGCAGCGACGCCGCGUGAGGGAUGGAGGCCUUCGGGUUGUGAACCUCUUUCGCCAGUGAAGCAGGCCUGCUCCUUGUGGGUGGGUUGACGGUAGCUGGAGAAGAAGCGCCGGCUAACUACGUG
RNAcentral lists this ribosomal RNA (503 nucleotides) under uncultured bacterium. RNAcentral describes it as "partial 16S ribosomal RNA". It matches the Rfam family "Bacterial small subunit ribosomal RNA", at positions 28 to 507 of the family's 1533-position model. The record is from RNAcentral.